RNAcentral lists this ribosomal RNA (253 nucleotides) under uncultured bacterium. RNAcentral describes it as "partial 16S ribosomal RNA". It matches the Rfam family "Bacterial small subunit ribosomal RNA", at positions 524 to 776 of the family's 1533-position model. The record is from RNAcentral.
UACGAAGGGUGCAAGCGUUACUCGGAAUUACUGGGCGUAAAGCGUGCGCAGGCGGUUUGUUAAGUCUGAUGUGAAAGCCCUGGGCUCAACCUGGGAAUUGCAUUGGAUACUGGCAGGCUAGAGUGCGGUAGAGGAUGGCGGAAUUCCCGGUGUAGCAGUGAAAUGCGUAGAGAUCGGGAGGAACAUCUGUGGCGAAGGCGGCCAUCUGGACCAGCACUGACACUGAGGCACGAAAGCGUGGGGAGCAAACAGG